This is a long non-coding RNA of Folsomia candida, 522 nucleotides long. RefSeq lists it as uncharacterized. The record is from RefSeq and is a predicted model, not a curated record. The transcript is spliced from 2 exons. Lineage: Eukaryota; Metazoa; Arthropoda; Collembola; Entomobryomorpha; Isotomidae.
GAACGGAAAUAUUUCGUGGUAUUUGCCUCGUUAAUUCCAUACCCAUAAAAGCUGCAACGAUCAUAUAAAAUUUCACAGUUCAUCAAUUCCAACAUUUUGGAAAUCCUUUACAGCCACAAGCAGAAAUAACAGAAAUCUGUAAACAUGAAGUUGGUUUUUCUUUUCACUGUUUGCGUUAUCCUGAUCGCAUUCAUUGCCACACCCUCUUUUGGCAUCCCAAUGGAACAAAAUUUUCGUCAAGAGAGGAAAGAGGACCCGCAUGCGCAGAGGAUUAACGUUCGUCCACCAAAUCCCCCACCAAACCCACCAGCCCCCAAUCGUGCCCAACCACCGCCACCUGGCCCACCGCCAAAUCGCCCACUUCCUCCAGUACCCCAACCAAGGCCUGAUUCUCCAACAUUGGGACAUCAUUAAAGAUUCUCAGGAUCUUAUUCAAAAAAUUCAACUAUUAAAAUUCAACUCCUGAAAAUAUAAACAUGUUUCAACUACAUAUACAAAGAAAUAAAUCAAAUAUAAUCCAGA